GAGGCAUCACCUCCCAAAAGAAGUCCGUGUCAUAAAGGGUCCCUUGGUUGUGGGGUUUAAUGACAUGAAACUAUUCUAUUCACCUCCAGGGCUAAGGAAGUAUCUUUUGAUUUAUUGCACUGUUCUAAACACUAUGUAAUUAGAUGAGCUUGGAACUCUGCAAGGGGGGCAGUUUGUAGUGCAGAUCCGUUUCCCACUGAAGUGCAUGGAGGCUGCAGGAGCGGAGGUGAAGGGGAUGGAGAGGUGGAGUCUUUCUAUGUUGCCCAGGCUGGUCUCAAACUUCUGACUUCAAGUGAUCCUCCUGCGUUGGCCUCCCGAAGUGCUGGGAUUACAGUCGUAAACCACCACUCCUGGAUUAUCCUUUACUAAUUUCAUUCAUAGAUGAGAGAUUGGGAGAAGAAAGAGGAAACUGCCACUUAUUUUCCACAUAAGUGUCAUCUUCAAGAUUCCAUGGAACAGAUUUCAUUCUACCCAGGAUUCCUUGAAAGGUGGCUUGAAACUCAUCUCUCAAUUGAAGUCAUGAAUCUGCAGGGGACAAAGAAAAAUGGCAUCCACAUAUCAACUCUAAUUGAUUUGGGGGCACUCUCCAGAGAGUCAGGAAUCUGGUUUAGGUCCCAGACCUAUAGCUUCCAGGGCUCAGACUCCUCAGAAGCUAAGGAGUUUGGCCAGUGCACGGCAGCUCACACCUGUAAUCCUGGCACUUUAGGAGGCUGAACUGAGAGGAUCACUUGUGUCAAGGUGUUCCAGACCAGCCUGGGCAACAUAUCAAGACCUCGUCUCUGCAAAACGUUUUAAACUUAGCUGGGCAUGGUGGCACACACUUGUAGUCUUAUCUACUCUAGAGGCUAAGGCUGGAGGAACAGUUGAGCCCAGGAGGUUGAGGCUGCAAUGAGCUAUGAUACCCCAAUAUGAUUGCCCCACUGGGUGACAGAAUGAAAGUCUGUCUAAAAAAUUUUUUAGAAAUAAGAAUAAUACAGGUUUAUAGAUCAAAAUGUGGCUCCUGAAAUAUUAGUUUUGAGCUUCAAUUCAAUAAGAAAGCCAUCGUAUUAGUCCAUUCUCGCACUGCUAUAAAGAAGUACCUGAGACUGUGUAAUUUAUAAAGGAAAGAGGUUUGAUUGACUCACAGUUCCAAAAGGCUGGGGAGGCCUCAGGAAACUUACAAUCAUGGUGGAAGGUGAAGGGAAAGCAAGGACCUUCUUCACAUGGCAGCAGGAGAGAGAAGUCCAAGCUGAGGAGAUGCCAUAUGCUUAUAAAACCAUCAGAUCUCGUGAAGAGUCACUCCUGUCAUAAGAACAGCAUGGGGAAAACCACCCCCAUGAUCCAAUCACCUCCUACCAGACCCCGCCCUCCACACAUGGGGAUUAUGGGAAUUACAAUUCUAGAUGAGAUUUGGGUGGGGACACGGGGCCAAACUAUAUCAGCCAUACAGGAAGGGAGCGUGAGAAGCUGAAGGUUAUGGUUCUUAUGCUUUCUAAGUGUCUUCCAGGCCCUGAGCCCACUGUCUCACCUCCACAGUGCAGAUAUGCCUUAAACACAAUUAAAACUGAAACCAACAUUAAACAGAACUAAAUGUAAGAAAUUAACAGAAAUUAAUUACCACAUAUCAGAGAGACAAUCGCCUGUUUAAAGCUUUAAUAUGAAAGAUACUUCUUUGAACAUAAAAACCCCAACUCUCACAUAUUUUCAAGGUAGUUUUGUACAUUAGAAAAUAAUUCUCUGUAUUCCGUGAUGAACGAUUCAUCGUGGAAUGCCUUUUAAAAAACAAAGACAUUGAAAAUGUGGUUGCAGGCUGGGCACAGUGGCUCACGCCCAUAAUCCCAGCACUUUGGGAGACUGAGGCAGGCAGAUCACUUGAGCCCAGGAGUUCGAGAUCAGCCCGGGCAACAUGGCAAAACCCUGUCUCUACAAAGAAAAUUUUAAAAAAAUUAGCUGGUCAUGUUGGUACAUACCUGUAGUCCUAGCUACUUGGUGAGGCUGAGGCCAGAGGAUUGCUUGAGUCUGGGAGGGAGGCAGAGGUUGCAGUGAACUAUGAUCAUGCCACUACACUCCUCACCCUGGUCAACAGAGUGAGACCCUGUCUCCAAAAACAAAAAAGAAAAACUGUGAUUGCAGACACAAACACUUAAACAUAACUCUGCAAACUUUUCUGUUACCUUUGAAAACCUAUUUCCGUACAGGGAGGAAAAAAACCCUUAGCCUUGUUUUGAUAGGGAAAUUUGAUUACUCAUUUGAAUAGACUGAGUAUGAUAGUUAUUUGACUUUUGAAAAUGUUUCAGGUCUCCUUCCUCUCUGCUAUCUUAGGAUCUGAGCUUCCUGAAAUUUUGAACCAAGGGCCAUGAAAUACAUUUUCUUAGCCUUUGCUAUAACAUUCAGCAUUAAACAGAAGACAAGAAGUGUGGCCGGACAUGGUGACUCAUGCCUGUAAUCCCAGCACUUUGGGAAGCCAAGGAAGGCAGAUCACUAUAGGCCAGGAGUUCCAGACCAGUCUGGGCAACAUGAGGAAAUACUGUCUCUACCAAAAGUGCAAAACAUUAGCCAGGUGUGGUGGUGCGCGCCUGUGGUCCCAGCUACUCAGGAGGCUGAGGUGGGAUGAUUGCUUGAGCCUGGGAGGUGGAGGCUACAGUGAGCCAAGAUUGAUCGCCACUGCACUCCAGCCUGGGUGACAAAGUGAGACUCCAUCUCAAGAAAAAGAAAAAAAAGAAGAAGAAGAAGGCAUGAGGUGAGAGGCAGGGAAUAUUCUUACAAAUCCAGGAUGGUUUCUUGGAGGAAAUGGUCUUUCUGUUUUCAGUCCUUUAUUUUAUUCUUAUUAUGACUCAGGGACAUGCUUUCCUUUGUAUAUUUGAUCAUCAAAAGAUCCUUUCCAUAUUUGGAAAAUUCUGUGCUUAUGUUUGACUUUCUUGUUUUACAUGGAGUGGGGGCGGGCGGGGAGGCAAUUCCUGAAGUACAACGGGCCUCAUCACAGAGGUUAUACUUGCUCAGUGGAGUGUGAUAUUCAUGUCUUUCUGUGCUGGAUGCGUUUUUUCUUUUUAAUAUAGACAUAAGCACUUUGCAUUUCCAUAUGCAUUUUGACUAGGUAAGUAAGACAUAAGAUUGGCCACUUUCACAUUUUUUCUGCUUCAAGCAACUAAAUUGUACACGCUAUACUGACGACAGGCACAGCUUGGCACCAAACUGGAUGUGAGGGGAAGAUUUGGGGUGUGCCAGAGAAGCAUCCGCAGACUUCAGAGCCUGCUGGUUCUUUUGAAAAUAAUCGCCGAGUUUCAUCUGCUAUCACCUGCUUUGCCUGCGUUCCUUUUGAUAACUGCCUUCCUUUCAGGGCUGACUGAAUAAGAGUUAUUGAUUUAGUGCUUCAAGAUCUCACAAGAUUCAGUCAUGAAAAUGAGAUCUGGCCUCGGGGGAGAAAACCGCUUCCUGCCCAGCACAGAGCCCAAGCAGGGACAGUGGCCGGAUCUGUUCAGUGCUCAUUAACGAGGUAACUUUGCCAUUUAUCAAAGCGCAGGACCAGUCUGGUGAGCCAAAACCAGAAUAUGAAAAUAGAUCUUUCUUCUGAAGUUCAGAUGUGAAAUAUUUUCCGUGUUUCCAAGAAUUUUUUUUUAAAGCCUCAACUUUUGUCCAUACCAUAAUUUUCUGGGAGUUUUCCUAAUUAAAAAUGCUGAUGGGUAUGGACUGUGUCCUUUCAUAGAGAAGGCAUUUAAGGGCAUCUACAACUCACAAGUUCAAUAAGAUCACCCAGCAUUAACAUGCCUUUGAUGAGGCAUUCGUUUAUUAUCUCUAGUUAUUUCUCAAUAAUCACACAACUGGCCUAAUGACACAAUGGGCUUUAUAAUAAUGAAUUUUCAAAAGAAAGCAAACAUUUCCUUUGAGGCUAUAUUCUCCAAUGAAUUUGGCAUGCCCUGGUUUGAAGACUUUCAUCUCCAAAUAGGCUGGGGUUUCUCUUUUAUCUAGCGGCCUGCCUUGCUGAAACCUUCUCCGACACACAAAGGAAAGUCUAAAAAAUGUCCAGUUCUAUCCAAGACUUCAAAAGUGCUCAGGGAGCCAGAUAAAAUCUGUCCCAGGAUUUUUUCUCUCCCCGAUAAACGUUUAGGAAAACCUUACUUCUGAGUCCAGGGCUACUUGGCUAGGACUGAAGAUGCUAAUGAAAAAGUGUUUCACUUAGGAACCUUGAGUGAGUCAAAAUUAGAGAAGGCUUGUUACCCAAAGGCCUGUGGUUUUAUUAUACAAGGCCCAUAUACUUCACCAAGGCUGGUAAAGUCAUUCAAACAACGACGUGUCAAAAGACAGAAUAUAGGCAAAAGUUCUGACCCAUCUGGUUGGUUGUGGCAUCUCCUAACUCAAACACCUUUGAAAAAACCCUCGUAAAAGGUGAAUAUAAGGCCUGUUAGGCCUCAGAACACAGUGGUUGUAGGACAGAAACCUUCGAUCACAGGACACUAGAAACACUCUCCAGAUCAAAGUCAUUCUAGUAAUUGUCAUUGUGCAUUAUGGAAAACCGAGUCCUGGGUUUGUGCCUUCCUUCCCCAGAACAUGAUUAUUACUGAAACAGAUGCAUGUUGGAUUUCCAGAUUGUGAAGCUAAGCUGUAAGGGUCUGCCUUGUCAUGACCUUACUGGCUGUGCAUGGUCUAAACUCAACUACCUCCCAGUCUCCAGACUGAACAUCUUAAUGUAUUAACUUAGAAUAUACUUCUUGUAAGCUUUCUUCCAACCCGGGUUCUACUCAUUUUGUUGGUCAAACAAACAAACAAAAAAUUCAAUCUAAAAUCCACAGUUACACAAGGAUAUGAAUGUAAGAAAGGCUGAACGUGAAUGAUUCCAGGAUAGAAGAAGUUAAUAAACCAAUUAACAAAAUCUGUGAGCAUUGCUAACCUUCAAAAGAGGAGGAUAAGGUUACAUUUUGUUUAAAGACAAAAAAAAAAUCCUAAUUAGUAUCAUGCUCUAAAAUAUACCUUUUAUUGAAAGCUAAGUUUUUAUUUUUAAUUAGUUCAAUAAAUGGCAAUGGGCAGCCUUCUCCUACUUAGCGAACUCACCAGGCUGUAGAAUUGUUGUAGGAAAUUAGCUCCAUUUCAGUCUUUGAUCCUUGAAGACCAAAGUGUGCAAUUUUGCUGGAGUAGUGUCGGUCGUUUGUAAGACCUUAGUGAAAGAAAAGUCUUAGUGUCCCUUAAAACUCCUUUAAAUAUGUAAAAAUGCACAAUGUCAGGGACCAGGACCCCGUCUACAUUAAACAAAGAACAAAGUCGAUCACUUCCCAUAAAGGGAAGGAUUUACAUUAAACUUUCCCCAGCAGAAAAAGAAAACAGAAAUUAAAAAGAUCAGACUGUGUUUUCUAGGGAAAUCUCUGCAUCUCCUUUUGUGCCUAAUAAUCUUCAUUUACUGGGACACCUAAGCUUCUUUGUGACUUUUCAUCUAAAUAUAUAUCCAAAGUUGUCUUCACUGCCUCAUUAAAGUAAAAUAAUAUCACAAGGUAACAAGUGUUUACGUUAAAAAAAGUUUGUUUGUUUUUUAAUCCCAGGCAAUGACUUUUUUUCAAGCUAUGCAAUAAUAAGACACUCCCUGAAAGUUUGUUUUAUUUGCCUCUGGGCUUGUCGUUUUCAUUUUCCUGCCCUUUGCUUACUUUUCUGUUGCUACUAAAAGGUAAACUUAUUCAGGCAUCUGUGUGUGUGUGUGUGUGUGCACGCACGCGUGUGUUUAUAUUAUUUAUUGAUAUACAUCUUAAAUAACGAACUUUGCAAAAUAAAAUCACAUUAUGAUGAGUUUUUUUAAUCCUAUUCUUAAUUCUCUAAUGGAGUUUCCUUGCUUUGCUUAAAAUAAGUGGACCACUGUUUGCCUUUGAAUUUC
RNAcentral lists this long non-coding RNA (5833 nucleotides) under Homo sapiens (human). Its description in RNAcentral is "HSALNT0160490". Lineage: Eukaryota; Metazoa; Chordata; Mammalia; Primates; Hominidae. The record is from RNAcentral.